AGCUCACGUAAGAGUUUGAUCCUGGCUCAGCCUGAACGCUGGCGGCGUGGCUAAGACAUGCAAGUCGCACGGGGCCGCAAGGUCCAGUGGCGAACGGGUGAGUAAAGAAUCGCUAACGUACCCCGGACUCUGGGAUAGCUAUCCGAAAGGUAGGUAAUACCAGAUGACAUACCUCUUCCGCAUGGUGGAGGUCUCAAAGGUCCGCCGGUCUGGGAGCGGGCGAUUUCGUAUCAGCUAGUUGGUGAGGUAACGGCUCACCAAGGCGACGACGCGUAGCCGGACUGAGAGGUUGGCCGGCCACAUUGGGACUGAGACACUGCCCAGACCCCUACGGGGGCUGCAGUAACGAAUCUUCCGCAAUGCACGAAAGUGUGACGGAGCGACGCCGCGUGUGGGAUGAAGUUCUUCGGAAUGUAAACCACUGUCAGGGGUUAGAAAGUUCUGAUCAACCCCAGAGGAAGGCACGGCUAACUCUGUGCCAGCAGCCGCGGUAAU
This 495-nucleotide ribosomal RNA is filed under the name uncultured bacterium. RNAcentral describes it as "bacterial SSU rRNA". It matches the Rfam family "Bacterial small subunit ribosomal RNA", at positions 1 to 524 of the family's 1533-position model. The record is from RNAcentral.